Coffea arabica (coffee) is the source of this 651-nucleotide non-coding RNA. NCBI's taxonomy places the organism in Eukaryota, Viridiplantae, Streptophyta, Magnoliopsida, Gentianales, Rubiaceae. The record is from RefSeq and is a predicted model, not a curated record.
AUCUGCAAAAUCUACUCUUUCAGCUGUACAAAAUAUUGAAGUGAAAAGCACUAAAUAAAAAGGUGGAGGGAGCAAUAUUGAAAUUUUAUAAAGCUGAUGUAUUUGAGCAAAAUGCUAUCAACUUCACAAUAAACAUCAAAUGUCAAUUGUUAAGGUGGAGAAAGGGAAUGGAAAAGCACAUAGCUGGCAACUUGGCAGCGCUCAGGUGUUUGGAUUUCUUAGUUCGCUACGAAAUCUUGAAAACAGUCUUCUACUCAGGAACUUCGGAAAGAUCGACAAUGUGAUGGCAGCAUCUUUCUUCUUGGCGGCUUCUGUUUGUCCAAGGAAAGAGAAAGCAAAAACGUAGUGAAUUCCGACACAGACUCAAGGAUGAAGAAGAUUGGCCAAGAUAUAAGUAACGUUGAAUUUGGUUAGGCCCUCUCCUUGACCGCUGCUAGUCUUUGCUGCCACUGCUGCCUUCACAGUCAUAGCAAGCGAUCCUGGUAUCCUCUAAGAUUUUAUUGUUCCAGUGAUUUCCACCCGUCAAUGGCAACUUCUUCACCUACUCUGGAGUCCGUGGAGUUCUGUACCAUCUUCCCACAAAUUUUACUGUCACAAAAGAUGGUGUAACAGAGUUCCCGGCUCAGAUGGGCAAAGUGUCUCACUUGCUGU